Molecule: long non-coding RNA, 1399 nt
Filed under: Macaca mulatta (Rhesus monkey)
Lineage: Eukaryota; Metazoa; Chordata; Mammalia; Primates; Cercopithecidae
Description: lncRNA (ENSMMUG00000050000.1)
Source: RNAcentral
CUUUGCUAACAUCUGGAUUAUUUAUUUAUUUAUUUAUUUUGAGUUUUUAGUUAUCUGACUGUUCUAAGGAGGUAUGUCAUUGUGGUUUUAAUUUUCUUGCCAGAUUCAUAAUUCUGUCUCUUUGACUGUGGGAGUCAGCUAUUAUCUGUCUGUGUUCAAGGUGUAUCACACCUGGAAUUUCUCAGGCACUAGGCAGGAGCACGUGUGGGGCUUAUCUCAUUUAUUUCUAACCUAAUAAUGCCCUUUGUCUGUUGCCCAGUGCCUUGAAAAGCAUUGUUUAAUAUAAACACUCUUCUGUUUUGGUUUGUUUGUAUCAGGCAGGCAGGACUAUCCAGUCGAUGUUACUCACUUCCUGAACACCUCGGUCAUUUGCAACCCAACCUCAAGAAGUCUAAUUUUGACCAAGAAUCUGUCAAGUGGUAUUGUAUUGUUGAUGCAAAAGAAGCCAACAAGUUCAACAAUUUCUUUUGACUAAAAGUAUAAAUAGCAAUGUUUUGUAUGCUAACCAAAACCUCUAUAGUGUGACCAUAACGUAAUGUGGCCUACCAGUAAAUAAUUACAAUAUUAAGAGAUGUUUACACACAACACUUAAAUAUUAUUAGAAUUUCUUGUGUUUUUCUACCAUUAUAUACUACUCUGAUCUGGACAAAUACAAUCAAUCACUGCCUACCUUACAAGAGUAUUGAUUUGAGCUGGGCAAUUUGUAAGGAAACAGAGAACACAUGUCAUUAUGCAUAUUUAUUUACUACCUUAUAAUUAUCUAGAAAAAACUUUAGGUAGUCACCUCCUGCAAUAGAACUUCCAAUUGCCUUGAUCUCUUCAAACCAAAGAAAACACAAACAAGGGAAGGAGAAGGAGUUUAUUAUCCUCUUUGUUCUGGGUUAAUAGACAUUCUACAUUUAUUUCAGUGUUCAUCGAUUAAUAUAUGAAUAUACUUUGCACUUUCAACAUUUUUAGUCACAUUUGCUUUUCCAAAGUGAGCUCUUAACUCUGUUUUGAGUCUCCCUUACUCAUGGGGCAAUAAUGAUUCCCAAGCACAAAUAAAUUAAAUUGUAUUAGAAAUUAAAAUAUGAAUCUGGUGAAUUUACCUUUUUACAAUAAUUUGAAUACAAUCGUAUGAUGUACAUUCUUCUAAUUAUCUGGGACAUAUUAUGUGUUCCAAAGAUGUUGAAACAAUAUCCAUUAUUUGUUCCACAGCUCUUCUAGAACCUUGUAACUUCGCUAUCAAGAGGAUCCCUUUGACCCUUCCUUGACCUUGUGGAUUUUUCUGAGUGCUUUGGCCAGUAUAAUAUGGCAAAAAUGAUGCAUUUGAAUUCUGAGAUUGUGUCAUGAAAAAGUCAUUAAGUUCCACUUCAUUUUUCUUAGGAUGAUUUUUCUUUGAAUCCGGCAACCAUUCUGA